This 260-nucleotide ribosomal RNA is filed under the name uncultured prokaryote. Its description in RNAcentral is "partial 16S ribosomal RNA". It matches the Rfam family "Bacterial small subunit ribosomal RNA", at positions 524 to 784 of the family's 1533-position model. The record is from RNAcentral.
CACGGGGUUGCGAGCGUUGUCCGGAAUUAUUGGGCGUAAAGAGCGCGCAGGUGGUUGAUUAAGUCUGAUGUGAAAGCCCACGGCUUAACCGUGGAGGGUCAUUGGAAACUGGUCGACUUGAGUGCAGAAGAUGGAAGUGGAAUUCCAUGUGUAGCGGUGAAAUGCGUAGAGAUAUGGAGGAACACCAGUGGCGAAGGCGGCUUCCUGGUCUGUAACUGACACUGAGGCGCGAAAGCGUGGGGAGCAAACAGGAUUAGAUA